GACAGAGGGUGCAAACGUUGUUCGGAAUUACUGGGCGUAAAGGGCGCGUAGGCGGAUAGUUUAGUCAGAGGUGAAAGCCCAGGGCUCAACCUUGGAAUUGCCUUUGAUACUGGCUAUCUUGAGUACGGGAGAGGUGUGUGGAACUCCGAGUGUAGAGGUGAAAUUCGUAGAUAUUCGGAAGAACACCAGUGGCGAAGGCGACACACUGGCCCGUUACUGACGCUGAGGCGCGAAAGCGUGGGGAGCAAACAGU
Molecule: ribosomal RNA, 253 nt
Filed under: uncultured bacterium
Lineage: Bacteria
Description: partial 16S ribosomal RNA
Rfam family: Bacterial small subunit ribosomal RNA
Source: RNAcentral